RNAcentral lists this ribosomal RNA (253 nucleotides) under uncultured bacterium. RNAcentral's name for it is "partial 16S ribosomal RNA". It matches the Rfam family "Bacterial small subunit ribosomal RNA", at positions 524 to 776 of the family's 1533-position model. The record is from RNAcentral.
UACAGAGGUGGCAAGCGUUGUUCGGAAUUACUGGGCGUAAAGGGCGCGUAGGCGGAUAUUUAAGUCGGGGGUGAAAGCCCAGGGCUCAACCCUGGAAUUGCCUUCGAUACUGGAUAUCUUGAGUUCGGGAGAGGUGAGUGGAAUGCCGAGUGUAGAGGUGAAAUUCGUAGAUAUUCGGCGGAACACCAGUGGCGAAGGCGACUCACUGGCCCGAUACUGACGCUGAGGCGCGAAAGCGUGGGGAGCAAACAGG